GAUAGAAUUAGGAGUGAAAUCCUA
RNAcentral lists this non-coding RNA (24 nucleotides) under Arabidopsis thaliana (thale cress). The record is from RNAcentral. Lineage: Eukaryota; Viridiplantae; Streptophyta; Magnoliopsida; Brassicales; Brassicaceae.